Molecule: unclassified non-coding RNA, 3804 nt
Filed under: Penaeus monodon (black tiger shrimp)
Lineage: Eukaryota; Metazoa; Arthropoda; Malacostraca; Decapoda; Penaeidae
Description: kinesin light chain-like, transcript variant X10
Source: RNAcentral
GGACGCAAAACAUUCCCCUCCCCCCUCCCGAUCACCCUCCUCCUCCUCCCCCUCCCCCCCAUAGUGUGCGUGAACUUCUGAUGCCACCAAUCAUCACAUCUCCUCGACGGCACUAUGUCCAAGGCCAUUAACGCCUAUCGCAUCAAGAAGAUCGAGAGCAUCGGGAGGAUGACGGCCCUGACGCAGGAGGAGGUGGUGUCCCACACGCGGACGGUGGUGCAGGGGUUGGAGGCCCUGCGGAAUGAGCACAACUCCAUCCUGACGGGCAUCAACAACUCCAUCACCUCCGCCCAGCACCACCCGCCCGACUCCAAUGUCUUCUCGGAGAAGGCUGGCAUCAUCCAGAAGUCCCUCGACCAGAUCGAGCUCGGGCUCUCCGAGGCUCAGAUUAUGCUGGCACUUGCCUCCCACCUGCAGACGGUUGAGGCUGAGAAACAGAAGCUGCGUGCACAGGUUCGGCGGCUUUGCCAGGAGAAUGCGUGGCUUAGGGACGAGCUGGCCUCCACCCAGCAGAAGCUGCAGGCCUCCGAGCAGCAUGUGGCACAGCUGGAGGAAGACAAAAAGCACCUCGAGUUCAUGUCCACCAUCAAGAAGUACGAUGCGGACGUACAGGACUCAGAGUCAUCAAUGGAGGAAAAGAAAGACAAAAGUGAUGAUCCCGUUGUAGACCUAUUUCCAGACGACGAUGCCGAUGACAGGGCUGCUGCCAUGUCCCCAACUCCACCGUCCCAGUUCGCACAGCAGGUGAAUGCUGGUUAUGAAAUACCAGCUCGUCUUCGUACUUUGCACAAUCUAGUAAUCCAAUAUGCCUCACAAGGACGCUAUGAGGUGGCAGUUCCUCUGUGUAAACAAGCACUGGAGGACCUUGAGAAGACCUCCGGGCAUGAUCAUCCUGAUGUGGCAACUAUGCUCAAUAUCCUGGCUCUUGUCUACAGGGACCAGAAUAAAUACAAAGAGGCAGCGAACCUCCUAAAUGAUGCGCUCGCCAUCCGGGAGAAGACCUUGGGAGAGAACCACCCUGCAGUUGCAGCUACCCUAAAUAACCUAGCUGUGUUAUAUGGAAAGCGAGGCAAAUACAAGGAGGCUGAGCCUCUGUGCAAGCGAGCCCUGGAGAUCCGUGAAAAGGUGUUAGGCCGUGACCACCCUGAUGUGGCCAAGCAACUCAACAACUUAGCCUUACUUUGUCAGAACCAGGGCAAAUACGAAGAAGUAGAGCGGUAUUACCAGCGAGCGUUAGAAAUUUACGAAUCGAAGUUGGGGCCCGAUGACCCCAAUGUAGCCAAGACGAAGAACAACCUUGCCUCAGCAUACCUCAAGCAAGGGAAGUACAAGGAGGCUGAGAUCUUGUACAAGCAGGUUCUCACAAGGGCUCACGAGAGGGAGUUUGGUGCCAUUGACGGCGACAACAAACCCAUCUGGCAGGUGGCAGAGGAGCGUGAAGAGAACAAGAAUAAGGUGAAGGACUCAGCUCCCUAUGGCGAGUAUGGCGGCUGGCACAAGGCGGCCAAGGUAGACUCGCCCACAGUGACCACGACCCUGAAGAACCUGGGUGCCCUUUACCGGCGCCAGGGCAAGUACGAGGCGGCUGAGACCCUGGAGGAUUGCGCCAUCCGGUCACGUAAGGAGGCCGUCAAUCUGGUCAAGGACGGGAUGACGCCAGAGGGAAGCCGACGACUCUCAGCCUCAAGGGACAGACUCCGCAGGGGGUCACGAGAGUCCCUCAACUCAGCUGAGUUCGAUGCCAACGACGAUCCCCCAAACUUCCCUUCCCCCAUGGGGUCUACCACUUCACAAAGAUCGCAAGAAGACGCACGCCACACCGACUGAAACGGGCAAGUUCACUGUCCGUUCUUAGUGGAGAGGAGCCCCAGAAACAGUCCUUACAGGUUCCCCUAGCUGUGCGUGGUCGAGCAGUGAGCUCAGAACACCUUUCCCGACCAGCUGCUUCUGCCUCGCCUGGCCUGCGCUAGAGACUACUUUCAUGCUCGCUGUUCCUUCUGCGUUAAUGUUACCUAUCAUAAGCAAUGGGAAAGAUCUAUUCAUGGUAGAUUACAAGAGCCUCCUGUCCUUGCUUUUCCACAUAAGGACAGAGAAUUGUUCUUUAUGUUCUGUACGUAAGCAACCUACCAGAGCAGUCUUUAGAUAUGUGUUUUUAUAGAUUGUUCCUAUGAAAAUUCUAUCUAUGUCUGUGUGUGUGCAGGACUAAUAACCAUAACCCAUUGUUAGUGACAGUUAACGGUGGGGCAUUUAAAACUUUGAGAAAGUUACUUUUGCAUGACAUAGUACAUCAAGAGCAGUUGUGUAUAAAACAAGGACAGGUAUUAAAACAUCAAUCACAUUGCAUUAUUGAUUUUAUGCAAUGGAAAUUAGAAAUUGGAGAGGCAGAAUAAAAGAAUAAAUAAGAGAAUAAAAAGCCCAAAUUAGCAGAUGGCAGCCUGGUCUUCCAGUUCGAAAAAUGGGUAGGAAACCAAGGACAGAAAACCAAGGGGUACUGAUUUGCAUGGGACAGGUAACGGAAUUUUAGAUUUUUACAGGAUGAAAAUGUAUAAAAUAAAGAGGAGAAAUUUAUGGAUUUCAACACUGGAAAGUCAAAAAAAAGAAAAAAAAAAAUGUAGAUUAGAAUGGUUGUCUUGUUUUGUAGUACCAUCACUGACACAUUCAUUGCAUUGUGUUUGGAUGCCUAAGCUGCAUUUGAAUCCCUGAAACUGGUAGAGUGUAGUUACCAGAGAAUAACAAUUACAUAAUGUGCUAUAGUCUGCAUAUAGUUUCCAAAGCCUCAUAAUAGCAUGUUCCAAAGUAUUCAUCUCUUAGCCUGGACAGAACUUUUGUCCAUGCAGCUCUUAUGAUUUUCUGCACAUGUAUAGUCACAAAAUGGCCAAGAAUUUCCUUUUUGUAAUUUAAAUGAAUCCAUUAUUGCAAUCUUGAGUGAGAGGUGUGCAUGUGAAAAAAAGAAAACAAAAAAAAGUUUAUAUUUAAUAAAUAUUUAAUAAUUCAGUGUCUCUGUACUGGCAGAACAUAAAAUUUACAUUUGAUGUCAUGAUAGAGUGCUUUAUUGAACAAGGCAUUGACAUACCAUUCCAGGAGGAUCUUGAUAGCUAUCUAGUCUUUUAUUUAUGAGAUUUGUGUCAUUUCAUGUUUUUAGUUUCUUACAUUGUGGAUUUUGGUAUGUUGUUGUAAAUGGCUAUAUUGUACAUUUCCAGUUUUGUAUUACUUAAUUUGGUUAAGAUGAUUUUGUGUUAUAUUUAUUUCUGUAAUAGUUUUGUGUCUAGGUCAAAAUUAUACAAAGCAUAUAUUGUUUUAAUUUCAUUCAUGAUUCUCAUGAGCAAAACUAUUUUUCAGUGUAGUUUUAAGGACCAUAUGCAUUAUAUCCACCAAGAAGAAAAUGAUGCACAUCCUGUUAUGGAUGAAGCUAUAGUUACCCUUGAACCAGUGUCCCAUACAGGGUUAAAUAUAUACACAAUAUGAGGAAAAUAUCCCUGGAAACAGUUAUUUAUCCCACUAGUGACUAAAAAGAACUACGAGAUUUGGGCCACAAGUUCCCAUCUCUUAGUUCAGAAGAAAGAUAGUUGUACUGUGAUUCUUGCACUUCCAGUACUAUUAUAAAUACAGUUGCUGGCAGUAUAGGAAUGUUAGUCAACUGGUAUAUCUUGCACAGGGGUUGUAAAGAUUUCAUCAUUUCAGCUGUCUGAACGUUCACAACCUAACUUUUUUGUUAGCUUCAUGUCUGCUUUUGUCUGUGCAUUCCCACGGUGACACAGCAACCGAUGUAGGAAAAGUUAUCAAUAAACAACUUGAUGGCUUAUG